Molecule: ribosomal RNA, 494 nt
Filed under: uncultured bacterium
Lineage: Bacteria
Description: bacterial SSU rRNA
Rfam family: Bacterial small subunit ribosomal RNA
Source: RNAcentral
AAAUGAAUUGACGGGGGCCCGCACAAGCGGUGGAGCAUGUGGUUUAAUUCGACGCAACGCGAAGAACCUUACCAGGUCUUGACAUCCCUUGACCGCCUUAGAGAUAAGGCUUUCCCUUUUGGGACAAGGAGACAGGUGGUGCAUGGUUGUCGUCAGCUCGUGUCGUGAGAUGUUGGGUUAAGUCCCGCAACGAGCGCAACCCUUGCCUUUAGUUGCCAGCACUUCGGGUGGGCACUCUAAAGGGACUGCCGGUGACAAACCGGAGGAAGGUGGGGAUGACGUCAAAUCAUCAUGCCCCUUAUGACCUGGGCUACACACGUGCUACAAUGGCCUGUACAGAGGGCUGCGAAGCCGUGAGGUGGAGCAAAUCCCAAAAAGCAGGUCUCAGUUCGGAUUGCAGGCUGCAACUCGCCUGCAUGAAGUCGGAAUCGCUAGUAAUCGCAGAUCAGCAUGCUGCGGUGAAUACGUUCCCGGGCCUUGUACACACCGCCCGU